Molecule: long non-coding RNA, 495 nt
Filed under: Lynx pardinus (Iberian lynx)
Lineage: Eukaryota; Metazoa; Chordata; Mammalia; Carnivora; Felidae
Source: RNAcentral
AGGGAAAAAAAAGCAAACGAUUUUUUUCAGUGAACACACUUUAGCUAAUAGACAAAGUGAGUGCGGGAGCUAGAUUAUGUCACUUUCACUUAGGAUCAAUUUUAUAUUGUAUAAAUUUCAUAAAAUCAGCUCACAUAAUGCUAGAUAUAUUAUGAUAGCUAAUAAAGUAUCCAACCCCCUUUCGUCAUUGGAAGCACUUAUAUUAAUUCUAGGCUUUGAAAGAUAAAUAGCCUGUAGCUUAGCCAGGAACAGUGGUGGCAGGGCCUAGCUGCUACAAAGAAGACAUGUUUUAGACAAUAUUCAUGUGUAUGGGCAAAAAACUCGAGGACUGUAUUUGUGACUAACUGUAUAACAGGUUAUUUUAGUUUCUGUUCUGUGGAAAGUGUAAAGCAUUCCAACAAAGGGUUUUAAUGUAGAUUUUUUUUUUUUUUUGCACCCAUGCUGUUGAUUGCUAAAUGUAAUAGUCUGAUCAUGACGCUGAAUAAAUGUGUCUUU